This 73-nucleotide transfer RNA is filed under the name Paramuricea clavata. It matches the Rfam family "tRNA". From Rfam's summary of the family: Transfer RNA (tRNA) molecules are approximately 80 nucleotides in length. Their secondary structure includes four short double-helical elements and three loops (D, anti-codon, and T loops). Lineage: Eukaryota; Metazoa; Cnidaria; Anthozoa; Malacalcyonacea; Plexauridae. The record is from Rfam by way of RNAcentral.
GCCUUCGUGGCCUAAUGGAUAAGGCGUCGGCCUCCUAAGCCAAGGAUUGCGGGUUCGAGUCCCGUCGGAGGUA